Molecule: ribosomal RNA, 253 nt
Filed under: uncultured bacterium
Lineage: Bacteria
Description: partial 16S ribosomal RNA
Rfam family: Bacterial small subunit ribosomal RNA
Source: RNAcentral
UACAGAGGGCCCAAGCGUUGUUCGGAUUCACUGGGCGUAAAGGGUGCGUAGGCGGUCGGGUAAGUCUGAUGUGAAAUCUCACAGCUUAACUGUGAAACUGCAUUGGAUACUAUCCGGCUAGAGGAAUGAAGGGGAGACUGGAAUACUUGGUGUAGCAGUGAAAUGCGUAGAUAUCAAGUGGAACACCAGUGGCGAAGGCGAGUCUCUGGACAUUUCCUGACGCUGAGGCACGAAAGCCAGGGGAGCAAACGGG